Molecule: long non-coding RNA, 1202 nt
Filed under: Mytilus galloprovincialis (Mediterranean mussel)
Lineage: Eukaryota; Metazoa; Mollusca; Bivalvia; Mytilida; Mytilidae
Source: RNAcentral
CAAAUCUGUUGUGAGUAUUUUUAAAAAAAAUGCUAAAGUUAACAGUUGUCGUUUAACUGGAUAAUUAUCUAGUUUAUUAUGAGGGUUUUCGUAGUUUGAUAAAUGCGAUAACAACUGUUUUCCAAUUCAAGCAGUGUCGAGUUGGAUUUUUAAUAAUCGAAACUUUUACAGGGUAAACUUUUCUAUAUCAAUCGAAUACACUAGCCUGAUCUUUGUUGUCAUUAAUUUCAAUGUAUGUCGGUCAUUUUGUGAGGGUAUAUGAGUAUGUUCAUCAUUGUUGGUUUGUUUGUACAUCCGUUAGAAAACCCUUUAAUAAAGUGUGACUGUAUAACGCUAUGGGGUGAAUAAUACGCGCACCAUCUGGUCGGUUAAAAUUGUCAAAUUCGAAGGCUAGGGUAAGUAUUGUAGGAAUAACAUUAUCUGCAACAUCCCUUUAUUAACGGGAAGUUGUAGAUGUUCACUGAUGUAUCAGUGCAACUAUAUUAUGGGGGUUAUUUUUUGCCAAUUUUGCAGAACAAGCCAGUCAUAUUGAUUGAUGCGUAACCAGAGCUGGAUAUAUUCUCCUGUUUUUAAGAAAUCAACAGACAACAUCAGUUAUACAACAUGUGAUGUAACAUUUAUCAAUUGAGUCAAACUAUAAAAAAUAUCAUCCUUUUUUUUAUUGUGUAUCACAAUUGAUGCAGCCCUUGUUACUUAAUUGGGUAACAUGAUAUAUUGUUUUUAUUAUAUUGUAGUUUCGAAAUAAACAUUAUGAAAAUUAUGUCUUGAUGGGAGACGAUAAAGCAAUGAAAAUCUUCGUCUGGUGGAGGAACGACGUUCAUAGCACCUACAAAAUAUUUCCACGUUUCACAAGUGUCGUAUUGACUUUGUCAAAGACUUGCUUGGUUUUUCACUUUUUAUUUCUUAUAUCGUUUUGAACAAUUGCGAACAUAAAGAGCGUAUAAAAAAGUAAUAAAAGUUCAAUGACAUGUUUAAGAUAAUACAAAUUAUAUAAUUUUUCAACUGCAAUUUACUGAAAAAUAUGUGUUUUUAAGCAUUAUUCUAUGUUUGCCGUUCUUUUUCUUUGAUUUUUCUAAGCACUGGCCUCCAGUUAUCGUUGUGAAAAGAUAACAAACAAAAUCGUUGAAUGAGAAAUGAUAUACUUGUUUUACAUUUGUCAUUUAGGGACCUUUUAUAGCUGAUUAUGUGGUAUGGACUUUCAU